This is a non-coding RNA of Schistosoma haematobium, 45 nucleotides long. The record is from Rfam. Lineage: Eukaryota; Metazoa; Platyhelminthes; Trematoda; Strigeidida; Schistosomatidae.
GUCCAACUGAUGAGUCUCAAGUGGGACGAAACACAUGUCCUAGAU